Dermochelys coriacea (leatherback sea turtle) is the source of this 3413-nucleotide long non-coding RNA. RefSeq lists it as uncharacterized. The record is from RefSeq and is a predicted model, not a curated record. NCBI's taxonomy places the organism in Eukaryota, Metazoa, Chordata, Testudines, Dermochelyidae. The transcript is spliced from 2 exons.
GGAAUCUCUCUCUAACAGUGGAGAGAGAAGGACUUGGCUGCCUGGGAGAGCAAGUAUUUCAGGGAUGAGAUCCUUCAACCCCACCCCAUUCCAGAAGGGAGUAAGAAUGAAGGGAUGAUUAUCAGUUUGGCUGAAGCCUGCCUUAAUGAACCUCUGGAGACACAGACUUCCUCUCCUUCCCCACUCCUGCCAGGAGAAUUGUGGCCAUGUCAGAGCAUCAGGAAGCUCCAGGGUGAGCUGUGCUCUAGGCAAACCACUACAGAUUUGAUUGAGAAUGCAAGUAUAACCUAGUCCCUGUGCAAGGAAGCUAGUCAAGCCUUGAAAAGAAAAGAUGGAUACCCUAAAGCAAAUGUCUCUCCUUCCCUGUAGCUGGAUGGCUAUGGAUCCACUGCUAAAAUGGGUGGCUGAACAGAACACUCAAUACGAGCAACAACAAAUCUUCCAGCAAAUAGCCAACCACCAGCAGCCAUUUAAUAUACUAUCUAAUGUUCCAAUAGCAGCAACAAGUAAAAUAGGUGAUCACUGUACUAUGGCUGCCUACUAUAGCAGUAUUGGCAAAACUUGAUUCAGCAGUAGCCCCUUUCCCGUCAGGCUUACAAAGAGGAGGCCUGAUAACAAGGCCUUCCUUGAAACUUUGAGGUAAAUGGGAACUGCAGCCUAGUGAUCCCUUGAACAAUAGGCAGUUUUGCUGGCCCCAUACUUAACUGGGAUUGAGCAAACAGCUAAUUGUGCUUUUAGACCUUCUCACUGUCUGAGACUAUAUGCAGGUCAAAGCAGCAUCUUUAAUACUCUGGACAUCUCAUAAGAGAUACUCCACAACAUUUCUGGGAAGAAUGGUAUCCUUUCAGAGCACAGUCCUUCAUGAUUGCUGAAAAGCUAUGAAAUUCAUGUUGGAGAUGGCUCAGACCUGAGAUGAAGACAGGAACUCAGAUGGCAAAGAUGACUUUACUUGAACUCUUCACCCAGAUAUUCCCCACCCUAGGGGAAAGGACUGUCCUAGGCCAUGAAGACCAUGGCACUGUUCCUUUCUUCUGCAAAUCAAAUUUCUUCUCCCUGCUGCACUUCCUAUUCUCCAUUCCACCUACUCCUCAUUUCUCCAUACCUUUCUUCCUCCUCCCAGCCCCCAUACACAUUAAAGGCUCAUUAUCUUUAUUUUUAAAAAAAGUAGUAUAUAUAUUUGGUACUGUAAAAUUCACUUGCCACAACUUAACUCUUCUUUCAUGAUCUUUGGUGCAUGUAUGUAACUUUGCAUGAAGCUCAAGUUAUAUAACAUUUCCAAACUUUUCAAACACCCUAUUGCAUGAAAAGCAACUGGGGGAGAGGGGGGAACCUCAUCUUGAUGCCAAUGCUACAAAGAGCUAGAUAUUUUAAGGUUAAAUUGUUAAAGAGGUAUUUUUAAGAAAAGUUUCUUUCUUUUGCUUACAGUCUUAGCUGAGUAAAGUUUGACAAGCUCUGGGCAGUGUCAACCCUCCCACCCCUAUGAGUCACUGAGUUGCUGUUGCAUCUGGUGCUUUAUUUAAAAAAACUGCUACAGCACAGCUACAAACAUUGUAGGUAACCCUUUCAUGUUUCUCAAUCACGGGGGACCAUGUAAAGCACAAGAAUGAGUGUAUCCUUAAUCACUACUGGCUUCUCCAUUCCUGAAGAAAAUGAUAAGGAGAUCCCCCUUGCUCUGUAAGACGUUUUAUUUUUCUUAAUGAGGCAGCUGCAGAGAGCUAUUUGGUCAGACUUUUUCCUUAUUCACAGCAAAAUCCUUAUGGAAUUAAUAGUUUUGUUAUAUUCAGAGUAUAAAAGUAAACAGCAUAUGGCUUUCGUUAAUAUUAUGUCACAGCACAAUCUGUCAGAAAAUGUAAUUUUUUUUGAGCAAUUUUAUUUAUUUGCAGUUCACAGGGGAAAAACAAAAACAAAAGAUCCUCUGCCUCUAAAAUGCAGCAAACAAUUUCUUAAUUUUUGGUUUGUAUUCCCAGUUUAAAAAGUAUGUCUGUGCAUAUUGCCUUCAAUAACAAAACUAAAAUGGAAAAGCAGUUGCUUUGUUACCAGGAGUUAAAAGGUCAUUUCCCCUUGAUGAAAAGCCUUUUCUAUCAGGUAAGUAGCUGCUACACUCCAUAAAACUGGCAACCCUUCAAAAGGUUUUAGAAACUAGCAACAUUGUUUGAAGAUAAGGUCAUUCGCUUUGUGUUUAGUCCUGCAAACCUUACUAGGUGACCCUUUGAUAUUGAAAUGAAGAGAGCUUUAAAUUGUUUAUCUUUAUACAGCUAAUCACUGGCUGAUCACUUUUUUAAACAAUCAAAAACCAUAGCUGAAUUAAACUGUAUAAAAUAUUGUGAUAUAUUUCCAGCAAGGGGCGAUUGCUACUAAGUAUUGCACAUGGGAUAUGCAUACAACUACACUCAAUGUUUGGUUCUGAGCCCCAGGCUUUCCCAUUAUUUUAUACUCUGUUUGACAGACACUAUUAGCUCAAUAACUGCUGACAUGAUAUUCACUGCUAGUUAUAUUGCUACAGUAGAUUAAUUACUAUACUAGAUUAAUAAAACUGAAUAAAUAAAGUAUGUAAAAUCUGUAACCUCUUAUUGGGAAUAUUAUGCCAGCAUUAAACAAAGCUUGCAUUUAAUAUGUACAAUACAUCAAAAUUUACUUAUGAGCACUAUUGCCAGGCACUAUGUAAAUGUGUAUUGUUAUAUGUGUAAUUAACUGAACUAUAACAUUUAUCUGAUAUACAGCACAAACUUCUCCCUGGAGGAAUGGAUUCUGUUUUUUAAAUACUUUUUCUUAAUUUAUGCUGUGGGUUUUUACAUAUUUUCCUUUAAUGGAACAAGUUAUGAAUCCAUGUCAUUUUCUAACACAGUAAGCAUUUUCAGAAGGAUUGUAUUUUCUCUUUUGUAUUAUAAAAACAAAAAAAAAUGCCCAGUCCCACAUAUAUAGUAAAUACUGUGCCUGGUAAGUGUGCUUCAGGGUCCACAAAACCACUUUCACUAUGUGAACUUUCAAAUUAGCUUAAUUGUUUUAAUACCAUUUCCACGCUAUUUUGGAUACUCUUUAAAAUUAUAUCUCUAUCGCUGUAGAUGUUGCUCAAAAGUAUACAUAAACAGGUUGUGUCUCAGUUUAUAACAUUCAUUAACACUGUAUCCCUCAAAUCACUGUCAAACAACUAAAAAGUACCAAAAUCCUUACCUAAUGGAGCGGACCCAGUACAAAGAUGCAACAAGGGAAUCCAAAGGAUGUAAGCAACAAGUAGGAGAUGCUGAUGGAAAGAUAAGGGUUGCUGCAUGUUGUCCAAGGAUAUGUUUAUCCAUCCAUCUGCAGUUUUUUAGACGUUAACUUUUGAAGUACUAAACUUUGCAAGAAAAGACAUCAGCUUGCCUUUGUGUUUAAAUCUGCCUUUUUUUAAAAAAAAACAAACAAACAAAACACAA